Molecule: ribosomal RNA, 770 nt
Filed under: Salmonella enterica subsp. enterica serovar Enteritidis
Lineage: Bacteria; Pseudomonadati; Pseudomonadota; Gammaproteobacteria; Enterobacterales; Enterobacteriaceae
Description: partial 23S ribosomal RNA
Rfam family: Bacterial large subunit ribosomal RNA
Source: RNAcentral
GUGAACCUUUACUAUAGCUUGACACUGAACAUUGAGCCUUGAUGUGUAGGAUAGGUGGGAGGCUUUGAAGUGUGGACGCCAGUCUGCAUGGAGCCGACCUUGAAAUACCACCCUUUAAUGUUUGAUGUUCUAACGUGGACCCGUUACCCGGGUUGCGGACAGUGUCUGGUGGGUAGUUUGACUGGGGCGGUCUCCUCCUAAAGAGUAACGGAGGAGCACGAAGGUUGGCUAAUCCUGGUCGGACAUCAGGAGGUUAGUGCAAUGGCAUAAGCCAGCUUGACUGCGAGCGUGACGGCGCGAGCAGGUGCGAAAGCAGGUCAUAGUGAUCCGGUGGUUCUGAAUGGAAGGGCCAUCGCUCAACGGAUAAAAGGUACUCCGGGGAUAACAGGCUGAUACCGCCCAAGAGUUCAUAUCGACGGCGGUGUUUGGCACCUCGAUGUCGGCUCAUCACAUCCUGGGGCUGAAGUAGGUCCCAAGGGUAUGGCUGUUCGCCAUUUAAAGUGGUACGCGAGCUGGGUUUAGAACGUCGUGAGACAGUUCGGUCCCUAUCUGCCGUGGGCGCUGGAGAACUGAGGGGGGCUGCUCCUAGUACGAGAGGACCGGAGUGGACGCAUCACUGGUGUUCGGGUUGUCAUGCCAAUGGCACUGCCCGGUAGCUAAAUGCGGAAGAGAUAAGUGCUGAAAGCAUCUAAGCACGAAACUUGCCCCGAGAUGAGUUCUCCCUGAGACUUAGAGUCUCCUGAAGGAACGUUGAAGACGACGACGUUGAU